This 892-nucleotide long non-coding RNA is filed under the name Cyanistes caeruleus (blue tit). RNAcentral describes it as "lncRNA (ENSCCEG00000002541.1)". The record is from RNAcentral. Lineage: Eukaryota; Metazoa; Chordata; Aves; Passeriformes; Paridae.
CAUAGGAAACGUUUGGAUAAAAAAAUGGAUAGACUCUGGAAGAGCUUGCUGCACUGUCCUUGUAGGCAAAGAAAAACUGUUCCAUCAGUGCCUGUUCCUCCUCUCUUUGUAAUUCAGGUAUGGUGAGUAAGUCUGAGAGUAUCACCAGUAACCUUUCUGUUGGAUUAGUUGCAACAAAUGGCAGAGAUGAACACAUUUGCUUUAAUUCUGUGUUCACGUAAAACAGACGCUGGUGGAUUCCCUUCAGAUAUUUGAAGGGAAGCUGGUUUGAUUUUUAAAUUCAUAUUGCAGCCUGUCUGCAGAGCACUCAAUUAUCACAAUUAAAGAGAAAUCAGCUGAGUAGUAGCAAAGUGGAAUGUUUUCAUUACUAUUUUUAUGAAUUAAUGAAAAAAUCAGUCAUUAAGAUAGCUAAGAGUAAUAUUUUUAAAUUUACUUCUCAGUCUUUGUCAUCCAAUUAACUUAAAUUCAUUUUAAUUUCUUUAAUUGAUUAAUUAUUUAAAUUGAUUUUAAUGGAAAAAUUGUCUCAUUCCUGUAGUUUUUUAUUUUGAAAAUUGAUAUUUGAGUUACACUUUUUGUUGUUGAUUUUCAUUAUUAUUUUAUUGCACAGAUAGCAGAUGUACUGACCAAGUAUACCUUGAAACUGGAAGAAAUUUCUUUCUUCUUGGCAGCUGAUGUUCACAAGCUCAUUAACAAUAAGGCCAUGCACCUUGUUGCCUCCAAAACAUACACAAUCUGACAUAAUAAAUGAAUGGUACAGAACUCUGGAGAAUUUAAACAGGAGUAUUGACACACCUAAUGUGGAGUGCAUGGAGAAAAUGCGCAUCCAGUAUGAGCUGGUCCAGGACAAAUGUCAGGAAAAAGUGCAGGUCUGCAAGGUGAGUGUCAGCUUUGG